GAUGAACGCUGGCGGCGUGCCUAAUACAUGCAAGUCGAGCGAACAGACGAGGAGCUUGCUCCUCUGACGUUAGCGGCGGACGGGUGAGUAACACGUGGAUAACCUACCUAUAAGACUGGGAUAACUUCGGGAAACCGGAGCUAAUACCGGAUAAUAUAUUGAACCGCAUGGUUCAAUAGUGAAAGACGGUUUUGCUGUCACUUAUAGAUGGAUCCGCGCCGCAUUAGCUAGUUGGUAAGGUAACGGCUUACCAAGGCAACGAUGCGUAGCCGACCUGAGAGGGUGAUCGGCCACACUGGAACUGAGACACGGUCCAGACUCCUACGGGAGGCAGCAGUAGGGAAUCUUCCGCAAUGGGCGAAAGCCUGACAGAGCAACGCCGCGCGAGUGAUGAAGGUCUUCGGAUCGUAAAACUCUGUUAUUAGGGAAGAACAAAUGUGUAAGUAACUAUGCACGUCUUGACGGUACCUAAUCAGAAAGCCACGGCUAACUACGUG
This 497-nucleotide ribosomal RNA is filed under the name uncultured bacterium. Its description in RNAcentral is "partial 16S ribosomal RNA". It matches the Rfam family "Bacterial small subunit ribosomal RNA", at positions 28 to 507 of the family's 1533-position model. The record is from RNAcentral.